GAUGAACGCUGGCGGCGUGCCUAAUACAUGCAAGUCGAGCGAACAGACGAGGAGCUUGUUCCUCUGACGUUAGCGGCGGACGGGUGAGUAACACGUGGAUAACCUACCUAUAAGACUGGGAUAACUUCGGGAAACCGGAGCUAAUACCGGAUAACAUGUUGAACCGCAUGGUUCAACAGUGAAAGACGGUCUUGCUGUCACUUAUAGAUGGAUCCGCGCCGCAUUAGCUAGUUGGUAAGGUAACGGCUUACCAAGGCAACGAUGCGUAGCCGACCUGAGAGGGUGAUCGGCCACACUGGAACUGAGACACGGUCCAGACUCCUACGGGAGGCAGCAGUGGGGAAUCUUCCGCAAUGGGCGAAAUCCUGACGGAGCAACGCCGCGUGAGUGAAGAAGGUCUUCGGAUCGUAAAACUCUGUUAUUAGGGAAGAACAAAUGUGUAAGUAACUAUGCACGUCUUGACGGUACCUAAUCAGAAAGCCACGGCUAACUACGUG
RNAcentral lists this ribosomal RNA (497 nucleotides) under uncultured bacterium. Its description in RNAcentral is "partial 16S ribosomal RNA". It matches the Rfam family "Bacterial small subunit ribosomal RNA", at positions 28 to 507 of the family's 1533-position model. The record is from RNAcentral.